AUUGAACGCUGGCGGAAUGCUUUACACAUGCAAGUCGAACGGCAGCACGGACUUCGGUCUGGUGGCGAGUGGCGAACGGGUGAGUAAUGUAUCGGAACGUGCCCAGUCGUGGGGGAUAACGUAGUGAAAAUUACGCUAAUACCGCAUACGAUCUAUGGAUGAAAGCGGGGGAUCGCAAGACCUCGCGCGAUUGGAGCGGCCGAUAUCAGAGUAGGUAGUUGGUGGGGUAAAGGCCCAGCAAGCCAACGAUCUGUAGCUGGUCUGAGAGGACGAACAGCCAAACUGGAACUGAGACACGGUCCAGACGCCUACGGGAGGCAGCAGUGGGGAAUUUUGGACAAUGGGCGAAAGCCUGAUCCAGCCAUUCCGCGUGCAGGAUGAAGGCCCUCGGGUUGUAAACUGCUUUUGUACAGAACGAAAAGGUUUCUACUAAUACUAGGAGCUCAUGACGGUACUGUAAGAAUAAGCACCGGCUAACUACGUGCCAGCCGCCGCCGUAA
This 500-nucleotide ribosomal RNA is filed under the name uncultured bacterium. RNAcentral's name for it is "partial 16S ribosomal RNA". It matches the Rfam family "Bacterial small subunit ribosomal RNA", at positions 30 to 523 of the family's 1533-position model. The record is from RNAcentral.